RNAcentral lists this ribosomal RNA (380 nucleotides) under uncultured eukaryote. RNAcentral describes it as "partial 18S ribosomal RNA". It matches the Rfam family "Eukaryotic small subunit ribosomal RNA", at positions 592 to 976 of the family's 1831-position model. The record is from RNAcentral.
CAAUAGCGUAUAUUAAAGUUGUUGCGGUUAAAAAGCUCGUAGUUGGAGUUCUGCCAGGUGCCGUCUGUCCGCCCCAGUGGUGAGUACGUGACGCGCAUUUGGCCCUUUCAAGGGGAGCGUAUCUGCACUUUACUGUGUGGUGCGGGAUCCUUGACUUUUACUUUGAGGAAAUAGGAGUGUUCCAAGCAGGCUCUCGUCGUGCACAGCUCAGCAUGGAAUAAUAGCAUUGGACCUCGAUUCUAAGCUGUUGGUUGCCAGAAGCGAGGUAAUGAUGAAGAGGGAUAGUUGGGGGCAUUCGUAUUUAACUGUCAGAGGUGAAAUUCUUGGAUUUGUUAAAGACGGACUACUGCGAGAGCAUCUGCCAUGGAUGUUUUCAUUGA